CCCAUGGUGGGUCAGUGGUAGAAUUCUCGCCUUCCAUGCGGGAGACCUGGGUUUGAUCCCCAGCCAAUGCA
RNAcentral lists this transfer RNA (71 nucleotides) under Loxodonta africana (African savanna elephant). It matches the Rfam family "tRNA". From Rfam's summary of the family: Transfer RNA (tRNA) molecules are approximately 80 nucleotides in length. The record is from Rfam by way of RNAcentral. Lineage: Eukaryota; Metazoa; Chordata; Mammalia; Proboscidea; Elephantidae.